This 73-nucleotide transfer RNA is filed under the name Myxococcales bacterium. Its description in RNAcentral is "tRNA-Val". It matches the Rfam family "tRNA". From Rfam's summary of the family: Transfer RNA (tRNA) molecules are approximately 80 nucleotides in length. Their secondary structure includes four short double-helical elements and three loops (D, anti-codon, and T loops). Lineage: Bacteria; Pseudomonadati; Myxococcota; Myxococcia; Myxococcales. The record is from RNAcentral.
GGGCGAUUAACUCAGGGGCUAGAGUGCCUUCUUCACACGGAGGAAGUCGCUGGUUCAAAUCCAGCAUCGCCCA